CAUUCCUCUCUCUCUCUCUCUCUCUCUCUCAGAGAAUCAGUCACCACCAAGCCUCACCUCAGCUCACCACAGUCGCUCACCAUUGUUGUUCACCAUACGUCGCAAUUCGCAGCCACCACCGCUGCCGCCGCAAUACAAACAUGUUCCUUCUCUUUGUCCUCCCCUCUCUCUCUCUCUCUCCCUUCCUCAAUUUUCCCAUUUCUGACUCUUGCUCUAGGGUUUUAUAUGAAUAUAUUAUUGACUUUAAUUUAUUGUUCUAGUAACCUACUUCCUCAAUAUCGACAUUGAUUCCAACGCAAAUGACAACAAAGAUUUCAUUCUCGGUUAGGAUUUCUUUUGAUUUCAGUUCCAACUUGUCUUGCCAUGAACAAAUAGUAGAACUUCCCAAAGAAGCUUUUGGAACAGAUGAAAUCACGACACAGAAAACUGUAGGAACUAAAUCUCAAAAGAUUCAUAGUUAUGUUUCACAAUCAGAAGUUGCUUUACGCUGUCGAGUUAUGCCUCAUCCAUUCAUGAAGAAUCCAUGCAUCAAAGAUGCUUCGGAAAUUGAAAUAGAUCCUUUCAGCAAUAGAAGAUCAAAGUGUGCAGCGUCUCAUCAGUGUGGAAAUAAUUAUACUUGGUGCAUCGGUUGAAACUUCCAAGCGUCUCAUCAGUGUGGAAAUAAUUGUACUUGGUGCAUUGGUAGCAGGAUCUCGGGACAUGUCAUUUGACUCCUACAGCUAUGCUAUUGUUUUUAUUUCAAAUAUCUACACAGCAAUAUAUCUUGUUUCUUUAGCUCACAUUGGAAAGUCAAGUGGCCUCAAUAGCUUUGGCCUCAUGUGGUGCAAUGGUAAGAUGGUAGGUCUCCAACAAAAUCACAUCUUUCGAGUUCUAAAUUUUUCUACAGAAAAUAAAAUUUACUAGCCUCAUUAAGCUUAAAUAACUCAGUCCUGCAAUUGUUUGUUUAAUUGAAUUUUUUGAAGGAUUCCUGUGAACCGAUUACCAUGGUAAUUUGUACCAUGCCAAAUUGUCAUUUGGCGUGGUAGUGAAUAUAUUUUUUUGUGUACGGAGGACUUGGUUUUCGUAUGAUUUUCUGUUUUGUAUGGAAUUAUUAUUUUAGAUUGGAAAUACUUACUUUGUAUGGAAUUUGAAAUUAAAAGUUAUUCUUUUUUGGAUGGUUGUAAGUGAAA
Non-coding RNA from Camellia sinensis, 1169 nucleotides. The record is from RefSeq and is a predicted model, not a curated record. Lineage: Eukaryota; Viridiplantae; Streptophyta; Magnoliopsida; Ericales; Theaceae.